Molecule: ribosomal RNA, 492 nt
Filed under: uncultured bacterium
Lineage: Bacteria
Description: partial 16S ribosomal RNA
Rfam family: Bacterial small subunit ribosomal RNA
Source: RNAcentral
AGUGAACGCUGGCGGUAGGCCUAACACAUGCAAGUCGAACGGCAGCAUAGUAAGAGCUUGCUCUUACGGGUGGCGAGUGGCGGACGGGUGAGGAAUACAUCGGAAUCUACUUUUUCGUGGGGGAUAACGUAGGGAAACUUACGCUAAUACCGCAUACGACCUACGGGUGAAAGCAGGGGAUCUUCGGACCUUGCGCGAUUGAAUGAGCCGAUGUCGGAUUAGCUAGUUGGCGGGGUAAAGGCCCACCAAGGCGACGAUCCGUAGCUGGUCUGAGAGGAUGAUCAGCCACACUGGAACUGAGACACGGUCCAGACUCCUACGGGAGGCAGCAGUGGGGAAUAUUGGACAAUGGGCGCAAGCCUGAUCCAGCCAUACCGCGUGGGUGAGGAAGGCCUUCGGGUUGUAAAGCCCUUUUGUUGGGAAAGAAAAGCAGCAGGUUAAUACCCCGCUGUUCUGACGGUACCCAAAGAAUAAGCACCGGCUAACUUCGUG